GGAGUGCCCGUCCCCGGGCAGGGUGCGAGAGCUCUCCUGUGCCCAGUGCCCACUUGGCAACUUUCUCUUGCAGAACUUGGUGAAGACGACUCUCUGGGACUUCCCGGCAGCGUCCCUGCACCUGAAGGUGAUUCUGGCCCUGGAGCAGUGGAGGUAAGAGCGAGGAGCUGCGGGGGCUGUGAGGCAGGAUGACGUUCCUCCUGUCGGCUGAGCAGCUUGGGAAGAUCAGGAACGCAGAGCAGGCACUGCUGCAGCUGCAGGUAACUUGCUGUCCCUUCCCAGCACAAGCUGUGUGCUGGCAGCAGCCGUGAUCCUGCAUCUCCGUCCCUCUCCCUGGCCUUCAGCAAAGGCUGGGAAGGGAAGUUCAGUCGCCCUAACUGGGACUCCCCUUUUUUCCCCGUGCUCGUUCCAGCCAAGGCCAUGAACAGGCUGUUGCAGACAGAUGACCCUGCGAGCUUGUGUGAGGGGCUGAGUGCUCGCAGCGACGCCUCUCAGCAGCUCCAGACCUCCAUCCACAUCGCAGAGAUGGUUUGCAAAAACGUCCCCAAAGAACAGGCUGCAGACUUCAUGAAUGCCAUCCAGGAGCCCUUCCGGCGUGCCAGAGGAAGCCGCGUGCGUGCUGCAGGCAACUGGAUGCUCACCUUUCUGGAAACAUGGGGAAAGGACAUUGGUCCAGACGUGCGAGGAAUCCUCUCCACCCUGCACACCUGCACAGAGUCCAUGCGGGAGCCCUCGUUCAUGUACUUCGUGCACCAUGUGGUGCUGAUCCUGGCCCGCCAUCACGAGAGGCUCACGAUGAACGUCAUCCUCGAGCAGUUUGUGCCUAUGGACAGAAACACACUGGAGCUGUGGAGGACUCUGGGGAGAGACAGCAUUGGCAUCAGUGUGCUGAAGCGCUUAGCGAGGAAGCUGAGGAGAGUGGGAGACGACAGCUCCCAGCCCAGCUCGCCCAGUGGCAGGCUGCACGCCCACCAGCCUUCUGCGGAGUCCUUGACUGUACGUUCAGAGGCUUUGUGCCUGCUCCCCCACUCCCAGGCCAAGGGCAAGGCGUUGGGUGCCCUUUGCAAGCGUCUCUGGACGCUGCCAGGACACUGCAGCAGGACACUGCAGCAGGACACUGCAGCAGUGUCCUGGCAGUAGCAGUUCGGGACGGCCGGGACAGCCGCUGCUCCCAGGCUGCAAGGCUGUCCUGGAGAUGGAGAUGGGGCGUGCAGGCAGUAGAAGUGCCCCAGGCAGCCAGCGGGCCGGGGCUGGUGGCAAAGCUCUUGUUUAACGGGUGCUUGUCGGGGGGUCUCAUUUCCCUGCAGGUCACCCGUGCCAUCUCUGAAAUGGUGUCCAUGCAGUCCAAGGAGGGGGUCCAGAGCUUGCUUCCCUCCCUCCUCCCUGGGCUCCUGCUGCAGCUCAGCAAGGCAUUGGGGGAAGAGAUGCUGUUUGCUCCCCUCAGCCCCUGGAGAGGGCACGCUGAGGAUCAGCGGCAAGAGGGCAACGUGUGCAGGUCAGGAGCAG
Molecule: long non-coding RNA, 1506 nt
Filed under: Anas platyrhynchos platyrhynchos (common mallard)
Lineage: Eukaryota; Metazoa; Chordata; Aves; Anseriformes; Anatidae
Description: lncRNA (ENSAPLG00000016764.1)
Source: RNAcentral